RNAcentral lists this ribosomal RNA (491 nucleotides) under uncultured bacterium. RNAcentral describes it as "partial 16S ribosomal RNA". It matches the Rfam family "Bacterial small subunit ribosomal RNA", at positions 29 to 507 of the family's 1533-position model. The record is from RNAcentral.
AGUGAACGCUGGCGGUAGGCCUAACACAUGCAAGUCGAACGGCAGCACAGUAAGAGCUUGCUCUUACGGGUGGCGAGUGGCGGACGGGUGUGGAAUACAUCGGAAUCUACUUUUUCGUGGGGAUAACGUAGGGAAACUUACGCUAAUACCGCAUACGACCUACGGGUGAAAGCAGGGGAUCUUCGGACCUUGCGCGAUUGAAUGAGCCGAUGUCGGAUUAGCUAGUUGGCGGGGUAAAGGCCCACCAAGGCGACGAUCCGUAGCUGGUCUGAGAGGAUGAUCAGCCACACUGGAACUGAGACACGGUCCAGACUCCUACGGGAGGCAGCAGUGGGGAAUAUUGGACAAUGGGCGCAAGCCUGAUCCAGCCAUACCGCGUGGGUGAAGAAGGCCUUCGGGUUGUAAAGCCCUUUUGUUGGGAAAGAAAAGCAGCAGGUUAAUACCCCGCUGUUCUGACGGUACCCAAAGAAUAAGCACCGGCUAACUUCGUG